GGCAAUGGCGCAGCUAUAAUGCAGUCGAGCGGACAGAUGGGAGCUUGCUCCCUGAUGUUAGCGGCGGACGGGUGAGUAACACGUGGGUAACCUGCCUGUAAGACUGGGAUAACUCCGGGAAACCGGGGCUAAUACCGGAUGGUUGUUUGAACCGCAUGGUUCAGACAUAAAAGGUGGCUUCGGCUACCACUUACAGAUGGACCCGCGGCGCAUUAGCUAGUUGGUGAGGUAACGGCUCACCAAGGCAACGAUGCGUAGCCGACCUGAGAGGGUGAUCGGCCACACUGGGACUGAGACACGGCCCAGACUCCUACGGGAGGCAGCAGUAGGGAAUCUUCCGCAAUGGACGAAAGUCUGACGGAGCAACGCCGCGUGAGUGAUGAAGGUUUUCGGAUCGUAAAGCUCUGUUGUUAGGGAAGAACAAGUGCCGUUCAAAUAGGGCGGCACCUUGACGGUACCUAACCAGAAAGCCACGGCUAACUACGUGCCAGCAGCCGCGGUAAUACGUAGGUGGCAAGCGUUGUCCGGAAUUAUUGGGCGUAAAGGGCUCGCAGGCGGUUUCUUAAGUCUGAUGUGAAAGCCCCCGGCUCAACCGGGGAGGGUCAUUGGAAACUGGGGAACUUGAGUGCAGAAGAGGAGAGUGGAAUUCCACGUGUAGCGGUGAAAUGCGUAGAGAUGUGGAGGAACACCAGUGGCGAAGGCGACUCUCUGGUCUGUAACUGACGCUGAGGAGCGAAAGCGUGGGGAGCGAACAGGAUUAGAUACCCUGGUAGUCCACGCCGUAAACGAUGAGUGCUAAGUGUUAGGGGGUUUCCGCCCCUUAGUGCUGCAGCUAACGCAUUAAGCACUCCGCCUGGGGAGUACGGUCGCAAGACUGAAACUCAAGGAAUUUGACGGGGGCCCGCACAAGCGGUGGAGCAUGUGCUUUAAUUCGAAGCAACGCGAAAACCUUACCAGGUCUUGACAUCCUCUGACAAUCCUAAAGAUAGGACGUCCCCUU
Molecule: ribosomal RNA, 1000 nt
Filed under: Bacillus velezensis
Lineage: Bacteria; Bacillati; Bacillota; Bacilli; Caryophanales; Bacillaceae
Description: bacterial SSU rRNA
Rfam family: Bacterial small subunit ribosomal RNA
Source: RNAcentral